This 534-nucleotide ribosomal RNA is filed under the name uncultured bacterium. RNAcentral's name for it is "bacterial SSU rRNA". It matches the Rfam family "Bacterial small subunit ribosomal RNA", at positions 777 to 1325 of the family's 1533-position model. The record is from RNAcentral.
AAUAGAUCCCUGGUAGUCUACGCCGUAAACGAUGGAUGCUAGCUGUAUUCGGUAUCGACCCCGGAUGUAGCGAAGCUAACGCGUUAAGCAUCCCGCCUGUGGAGUACGGUCGCAAGACUAAAACAUAAAGGAAUUGACGGGGACCCGCACAAGCGGUGGAGCGUGUUGUUUAAUUCGAUGGUAAGCGAAGAACCUUACCCAGGUUUGACAUCCUUGGAAUUUCUGCGAAAGCAGAGAGUGCUUUAUUGAGCCAAGUGACAGGUGAUGCAUGGCCGUCGUCAGCUCGUGUCGUGAGAUGUUUGGUUAAGUCCAUUAACGAGCGCAACCCUUGUAGUUAGUUGAAUUUUUCUAGCUAGACUGCCCCGGUAACGGGGAGGAAGGAGGGGAUGAUGUCAGGUCAGUAUUUCCCUUACAUCUGGGGCUACAAACACGCUACAAUGGCCGGUACAAAGGGCAGCCAACCCGCGAGGGGGAGCAAAUCCCAUCAAAGCCGGUCUCAGUUCGGAUAGCAGGCUGAAACUCGCCUGCUUGAAG